This 1346-nucleotide ribosomal RNA is filed under the name uncultured bacterium. Its description in RNAcentral is "partial 16S ribosomal RNA". It matches the Rfam family "Bacterial small subunit ribosomal RNA", at positions 28 to 1380 of the family's 1533-position model. The record is from RNAcentral.
GACGAACGCUGGCGGCGUGCUUAACACAUGCAAGUCGAACGGAAAGGCCCUGCUUUUGUGGGGUGCUCGAGUGGCGAACGGGUGAGUAACACGUGAGUAACCUGCCCUUGACUUUGGGAUAACUUCAGGAAACUGGGGCUAAUACCGGAUAGGAGCUCCUGCUGCAUGGUGGGGGUUGGAAAGUUUCGGCGGUUGGGGAUGGACUCGCGGCUUAUCAGCUUGUUGGUGGGGUAGUGGCUUACCAAGGCUUUGACGGGUAGCCGGCCUGAGAGGGUGACCGGCCACAUUGGGACUGAGAUACGGCCCAGACUCCUACGGGAGGCAGCAGUGGGGAAUAUUGCACAAUGGGCGGAAGCCUGAUGCAGCAACGCCGCGUGCGGGAUGACGGCCUUCGGGUUGUAAACCGCUUUCGCCUGUGACGAAGCGUGAGUGACGGUAAUGGGUAAAGAAGCACCGGCUAACUACGUGCCAGCAGCCGCGGUGAUACGUAGGGUGCGAGCGUUGUCCGGAUUUAUUGGGCGUAAAGGGCUCGUAGGUGGUUGAUCGCGUCGGAAGUGUAAUCUUGGGGCUUAACCCUGAGCGUGCUUUCGAUACGGGUUGACUUGAGGAAGGUAGGGGAGAAUGGAAUUCCUGGUGGAGCGGUGGAAUGCGCAGAUAUCAGGAGGAACACCAGUGGCGAAGGCGGUUCUCUGGGCCUUUCCUGACGCUGAGGAGCGAAAGCGUGGGGAGCGAACAGGCUUAGAUACCCUGGUAGUCCACGCUGUAAACGGUGGGUACUAGGUGUGGGGUCCAUUCCACGGGUUCCGUGCCGUAGCUAACGCUUUAAGUACCCCGCCUGGGGAGUACGGCCGCAAGGCUAAAACUCAAAGGAAUUGACGGGGCCCCGCACAAGCGGCGGAGCAUGCGGAUUAAUUCGAUGCAACGCGUAGAACCUUACCUGGGUUUGACAUGGAUCGGGAGUGCUCAGAGAUGGGUGUGCCUCUUUUGGGGUCGGUUCACAGGUGGUGCAUGGCUGUCGUCAGCUCGUGUCGUGAGAUGUUGGGUUAAGUCCCGCAACGAGCGCAACCCUUGUUCACUGUUGCCAGCACGUUAUGGUGGGGACUCAGUGGAGACCGCCGGGGUCAACUCGGAGGAAGGUGGGGAUGACGUCAAGUCAUCAUGCCCCUUAUGUCCAGGGCUUCACGCAUGCUACAAUGGCUGGUACAGAGAGUGGCGAGCCUGUGAGGGUGAGCGAAUCUCGGAAAGCCGGUCUCAGUUCGGAUUGGGGUCUGCAACUCGACCUCAUGAAGUCGGAGUCGCUAGUAAUCGCAGAUCAGCAACGCUGCGGUGAAUAGCGUUCCCGGGGC